RNAcentral lists this ribosomal RNA (563 nucleotides) under uncultured bacterium. Its description in RNAcentral is "bacterial SSU rRNA". It matches the Rfam family "Bacterial small subunit ribosomal RNA", at positions 8 to 565 of the family's 1533-position model. The record is from RNAcentral.
AGAGUUUGAUCUGGCUCAGAUUGAACGCUGGCGGCAUGCCUUACACAUGCAAGUCGAACGGCAGCGCGGGGGCAACCCUGGCGGCGAGUGGCGAACGGGUGAGUAAUACAUCGGAACGUGUCCUGGAGUGGGGGAUAGCUCGGCGAAAGCCGGAUUAAUACCGCAUACGCUCUGAGGAGGAAAGCGGGGGACCUGCAAGGGCCUCGCGCUCAAGGGGCGGCCGAUGGCAGAUUAGCUAGUUGGUGGGGUAAAGGCCUACCAAGGCGACGAUCUGUAGCUGGUCUGAGAGGACGACCAGCCACACUGGGACUGAGACACGGCCCAGACUCCUACGGGAGGCAGCAGUGGGGAAUUUUGGACAAUGGGCGCAAGCCUGAUCCAGCAAUGCCGCGUGUGUGAAGAAGGCCUUCGGGUUGUAAAGCACUUUUGUCCGGAAAGAAAACAUCCGCACUAAUACUGGGGAUGGCUGACGGUACCGGAAGAAUAAGCACCGGCUAACUACGUGCCAGCAGCCGCGGUAAUACGUAGGGUGCAAGCGUUAAUCGGAAUUACUGGGCGUAAAG